This 709-nucleotide long non-coding RNA is filed under the name Salmo salar (Atlantic salmon). RNAcentral describes it as "lncRNA (ENSSSAG00000089761.1, ENSSSAG00020040449.1)". Lineage: Eukaryota; Metazoa; Chordata; Actinopteri; Salmoniformes; Salmonidae. The record is from RNAcentral.
GUCAGUGAAAUAUGCAGCUAUGAUCGGUAACAACCCAGAGAUGAUGGCGAGACAGAGACAGGUAAAGAGAGUGUGCAUACGUGAGGGUGUGUGUAUAUGAGAGAGCGAGAGAGAAAGAGAGGUCUUUGGGUUUGUGUGUAGGUAGGGGCUUGGAUUGGAUUGUGUGUGCAUCUCUGCGUGUGUGUGUGAGCGUCUCUUUGUGUGUGUGUGCGUGCGCCAAAGUGUGCAGUGGAGCAGCAAGGCUCGGGGAAUGGACGUGAUGUGACACUGGCUGGCUAGUCUGCUCUACACUCAGGGCGGCACAGCUGGUAUCAGUGCCUACAAUCAGCAAAGGCGAUAGGACUCCUAUCAACAGACAACUCCCUGGGAGGAGACAGACGCUAUGACUAAACUAAAGGGCACCGGUAAUGUCAUUAACGCAGUGACACAGGGCUUUCAGGGGAGCACAUUCACACUGAGAAACUGCAGUCAAAGGAGCCAAAAUGGAGGAGGGUUCUGAGGUAAAAACACAAUCAGAAGGCACAACGAUCCCGACUUCACUGUUGAGGGAUGACCGUCGCAUAGGAGUGACGCCACCUGUCGGAAGACAAUACAUCAAGAGCUGUUUUAAAGAACCAAGUUGGAGACAGGAAGCAGCUGGACGAUCGAUGGACACAACACAGGGAUUUACCACAACGUGUCUCCACUCCACUGUCCAUCCAUUGACCCC